CCUGGCGGCACUAGCGCGGUGGUCCCACCUGACCCCAUGCCGAACUCAGAAGUGAAACGCCGUAGCGCCGAUGGUAGUGUGGGGUCUCCCCAUGUGAGAG
Molecule: ribosomal RNA, 100 nt
Filed under: Klebsiella oxytoca
Lineage: Bacteria; Pseudomonadati; Pseudomonadota; Gammaproteobacteria; Enterobacterales; Enterobacteriaceae
Also listed under: 2 other names
Source: RNAcentral